Molecule: ribosomal RNA, 465 nt
Filed under: uncultured bacterium
Lineage: Bacteria
Description: bacterial SSU rRNA
Rfam family: Bacterial small subunit ribosomal RNA
Source: RNAcentral
UUACCAUGCAGUCGACGGCAGCGCGGGGCAACCUGGCGGCGAGUGGCGAACGGGUGAGUAAUAUAUCGGAACGUACCCUGGAGUGGGGGAUAACGUAGCGAAAGUUACGCUAAUACCGCAUACGAUCUAAGGAUGAAAGUGGGGGAUUCGCAAGAACCUCAUGCUCCUGGAGCGGCCGAUAUCUGAUUAGCUAGUUGGUGGGGUAAAGGCCUACCAAGGCAUCGAUCAGUAGCUGGUCUGAGAGGACGACCAGCCACACUGGAACUGAGACACGGUCCAGACUCCUACGGGAGGCAGCAGUGGGGAAUUUUGGACAAUGGGCGAAAGCCUGAUCCAGCAAUGCCGCGUGAGUGAAGAAGGCCUUCGGGUUGUAAAGCUCUUUUGUCAGGGAAGAAACGGUGAGGGCUAAUAUCCCUUGCUAAUGACGGUACCUGAAGAAUAAGCACCGGCUAACUACGUGCCAGC